CUCUCACAAAGAAAUACUGAAAGCUCAAAAAAAGAAAAGAUUUAAUUUCUUUAUCACAUAGUAGAAAUAAAACAAUAACAAAAAUAAUAAUUUAGGAAAAACAAUAACAAAAAUAAUAACUUAAGGAUUUAUAUUUGUGGAAGGAACAGAGAGAUAGGGUGGUGGCUGUGAAAAAUGCCAUUUGGCGUUGUAGAAGCAAAAAUAGCCUUAUGAUUAAGAGCCCUAGUGCCGGUUGCAUGGCCUUGGGCAAUGUACCUCUCCAUGCAGCAGCGUCCUCCUGUAUAAAGUGCAGAGAAUGAUCACACCCAUCUCAUAGAUUGUUGUGAGGAAUAAGGUGAAUAACAUAAGUCAUGCGCACUUAGUACAAUGCCCGGCACUUAGCAAGCACUUAGCAAUAUAUGUUACAUGAUACACAUUCUUGUCACAAUCCUCGCUACAUAUCUACACUUCUCUUUUGACAUUUCAUUCCCGUUAAAUUCUUAGUGUAAAGUCUUCUUUUCAUGCCUCUUAUUGUGUGCUCUUCUUUCUAAAAUAGAGUCUAGCCUUAUAAAAAAUAUAUAUGACAAGCCAACUGGAAGAAGGUCACAGUAAAUGAAAGCAGUGUAGCACAUUGCAAACCCAGACAGAAGCCUAGUUAAGACAAUUAUGCAAAGUUGGCUUACCUGUUUUUUCCCUUGGAGAAACAUCAGAAUCUUGACUCAUAAAAUCUGGUAUGACCCAUUUGUCUAAGUACCUACACAUGAGAAUACCCAGAUGUGUUCUUUAAUCACAAAACCAGAGAGGCUCACAGAACUAGAUAGAAUCCACAUUCUAUGAGGAAAGCCACAUUGUAUAAAACUGGUAAUAAAAGAGACUAGUCUCUAGCCACUCCUCACUGAGGAAUUGGUGAUGACUUCUAAACAAUGAAGUUGAAGAAACAGUUCUCAAACUUUGGUAACAGAGAAACUUUUUACUUUCUGUUUAGGUAUUGGCUAGAAGCACAGUCUCAUAGUUAGAAGGGUAGUCUUUGGCAUCACAAUACCUGGGGUUCUAAACCCAGCAUCAAUAUUUGCUAGAUGUGUGACUUCGGUGUCAUUAACAUCUCUGUGCCUCCAUUCUGUUAUCAGUACAUUGGAUUAAUAGUCGUACCUGUCCCAGAAGAUGAUUGACAAGAAUGACACCCACAUCCUCUGGAGAAGAUGGUUAGCUUUUAAUUUAGGCCUUUGAGGAGAUUGUUCCAGGAAGCUCCUCUCUUCGGUCCCACCUACUCAGCCCUCAGGGAGGAAGGAGGGCUUUGUCGCUGACAGGUCAUGAGCACAGAUUCUGCCCCAAGACGUCUGCUUUCAGAACGCAAGUUCUGUUCACAAGGAACAAGGGGUAUCCAUACAAGUCCAAGUCCAUGAAGAAGGCCAUUCUGCAACCCAGAAGCCAGAGACUGGAGUUCCCACAUCCACUUGUUCUGAUUCAUUUCAUGAAGUUUAGAUGACUAAAAGAGGUUUAAAACUUAAACAUGUGGUAUAACCUCAGCAAUUCAUUUGUUCAAUUUUUUUUUUUAAAAAAAAGAAUGAAAAAGUUAAAUUUUGUAACAAUAGUAUGAACUCAAAAACAUAUCCUGGGAGCAAAAAGAGAAUUGUGGCUUUGACAUUCUGCCUUUUAUCUUCAUGGGAAAAGCAAAAGCUAAGCUGAAAAAAAUGUUUCAUUUUGGUAAACUCAUAAGCUAUUGCUUCCCCACAACUUUAAGUGAUUUUUGCUGAUCUGUGCCCUGACCACAUAGAAAUGUUCAAACAAAAACUCAAGGUCAUUUUCACUUAUCUUUCUUAUUCUUUUCUACAAAGAAACGUCAAUAUAUUCUAGGUUUACAUAUGAUUUUAUAAGAUUUUUUCCCUUACAAAUCUCUUUUCCUUUAGCUGCAAACCACCUGAUUCUGAUUUUCCUUUGCCAUAAAUCUGAAUUUUUACAUUUUAUCUGGUAUUCACAACAGAUGGGCUAUGAACCAAAAAAUAAUAAUAAUAAUAAUACAAUGGGAGGAAAGAGAAGAUAAAAUUAUUGGGCAAAAACUAUACAGAAGAUGAAACAACUCUCAGAGAGGAUACAAUGGGGACACAAGGGAUAGCCUAACAACAAUCAAUCUGACAACUAACUUUAAAUGGGGAAAAAAACAUUUUCUUAAUAAAACUAUAAAGCCAGCUGUGUGCACCUUUAGUGUUGUUGCAAUCCGGAAAGAGAGAGGAUACCUUGGCAUUACGUCAACCAUAUUUUCAUGUCCUGCUAUCAAGGAUUUCUUCCCACCGCUGUCUCUAUGCUCUCCAGCCAUAAAAGAGGGCAACAUCUUUAAUGAUGUGAAAUCCACCAACUCCCGAAUUCCCGACCCCCCACUGCAUGUUUCCCUGAGACAAAACUCAUCAGACAUUUUUUACCAGCCUCGCAAGAAGAUGUUAUGGAAACCAAUGUCCUUUCAAACCUGAGUCUAGUCCCUCCAAACAUUCUAGGGGAAGGACAGGCGACAGCAGGAUCAACUGAGUGAAGAUGUGCCCACAAGUUUUAAAGUUAGGCUAAAAUUUAUGAUUAAAGGCAGAAGAGCAAUUUAUACUAUGAUACAAAACAUUUAAAUAGGAAAAUUUCAACUCAUCGUAUGUACUAUGCCUACAUGACGCCAAAUAGUAUACUUGAAAAUCAUACAUUAAAACAGCUGUCUUCAUGUUAGUGACUUGCUGUCCAAUUUAUAUAGGGUCCCACUCCUGCAAAACUUUUCCGCUGUGUACUAUUGUCUUAUUUUUUAAUCCCUUAGCAGAAAUUCAAAAGCUGCCUUUAUCUGAUAGAAGAAUUUCAUCUCUCAUGAGAAAAGCCACUGAUAAAACUUGACUUUCAAUCAAAACCAAAACUUCAUUUCCAAAAACCUCUAGGACACAGCUUUCAGCAAACUUAGAAAAACAUUCAAAUGGGAGUUUUCGUUGUUGUUGUCAAUUUUUAGAAGGAUUUAUCCCUUUUGUAUUAAAAGCUCAUUUGGUCACAAGUAACAGAAAUUCAUUGAGUCUCGCUUUGGGGUAGGGAAUGAACAAGAAUACACUGUGGAACUCAAGGGCAGGAAAUAGCUCAGGAAGAAUGGGAUCCAAG
Molecule: long non-coding RNA, 3093 nt
Organism: Equus caballus (horse)
Lineage: Eukaryota; Metazoa; Chordata; Mammalia; Perissodactyla; Equidae
Source: Ensembl